GAAUUUUGGACAAUGGGCGAAAGCCUGAUCCAGCAAUGCCGCGUGCAGGAUGAAGGCCUUCGGGUUGUAAACUGCUUUUGUACGGAACGAAAAGCUUUGGGUUAAUACCCUGGAGUCAUGACGGUACCGUAAGAAUAAGCACCGGGUAACUACGUGCCAGAAGCCGCGGUAAUACGUAGGGUGCAAGCGUUAAUCGGAAUUACUGGGCGUAAAGCGUGCGCAGGCGGUUUUGUAAGACAGAGGUGAAAUCCCCGGGCUCAACCUGGGAACUGCCUUUGUGACUGCAAGGCUAGAGUACGGCAGAGGGGGGUGGAAUUCCGCGUGUAGCAGUGAAAUGCGUAGAUAUGCGGAGGAACACCGAUGGCGAAGGCAACCCCCUGGGCCUGUACUGACGCUCAUGCACGAAAGCGUGGGGAGCAAACAGG
This 425-nucleotide ribosomal RNA is filed under the name uncultured bacterium. RNAcentral's name for it is "bacterial SSU rRNA". It matches the Rfam family "Bacterial small subunit ribosomal RNA", at positions 359 to 776 of the family's 1533-position model. The record is from RNAcentral.